UUGAACGCUGGCGGCAGGCCUAACACAUGCAAGUCGAAUGGUAACAGGAAACAGCUUGCUGUUUCGCUGACGAGUGGCGGACGGGUGAGUAAUGUCUGGGAAACUGCCUGAUGGAGGGGGAUAACUACUGGAAACGGUAGCUAAUACCGCAUAACGUCGCAAGACCAAAGAGGGGGACCUUCGGGCCUCUUGCCAUCAGAUGUGCCCAGAUGGGAUUAGCUAGUAGGUGGGGUAACGGCUCACCUAGGCGACGAUCCCUAGCUGGUCUGAGAGGAUGACCAGCCACACUGGAACUGAGACACGGUCCAGACUCCUACGGGAGGCAGCAGCGGGGAAUAUUGCACAAUGGGCGCAAGCCUGAUGCAGCCAUGCCGCGUGUAUGAAGAAGGCCUUCGGGUUGUAAAGUACUUUCAGCGGGGAGGAAGGGAGUAAAGUUAAUACCUUUGCUCAUUGACGUUACCCGCAGAAGAAGCACCGGCUAACUCCGUG
Molecule: ribosomal RNA, 489 nt
Filed under: uncultured bacterium
Lineage: Bacteria
Description: partial 16S ribosomal RNA
Rfam family: Bacterial small subunit ribosomal RNA
Source: RNAcentral